This 253-nucleotide ribosomal RNA is filed under the name uncultured bacterium. RNAcentral describes it as "partial 16S ribosomal RNA". It matches the Rfam family "Bacterial small subunit ribosomal RNA", at positions 524 to 776 of the family's 1533-position model. The record is from RNAcentral.
UACGUAGGGGGCAAGCGUUGUCCGGAAUCAUUGGGCGUAAAGAGCGUGUAGGCGGUCCGGUAAGUCCGCUGUGAAAGUCGGGGGCUCAACCCUCGGAUGCCGGUGGAUACUGUCGGGCUUGAGUACGGAAGAGGCGAGUGGAAUUCCUGGUGUAGCGGUGAAAUGCGCAGAUAUCAGGAGGAACACCAAUUGCGAAGGCAGCUCGCUGGGACGUUACUGACGCUGAGACGCGAAAGCGUGGGGAGCAAACAGG